UUUUAAUUUUAAUUAGUCGAACGUGUUAAAAGUUGUGGCGUGCAUACAAAACAAACCCUUAUAUUAUUGAUGAUAAAAAUUUAAGAAAACUAUAGUGAAUAAAAAGAACGUUUAAAACUAUACACCUACACAUGAUAACAGAUAACUAUUGGCCUGUACCUGCCCAAAAUCCGGUGCAAAUACAGCCGGUAUUCAUUUUUCCUUUUUUGCAUUAAAAAAAACGAUUCACACGACCAUAACCACGUCAGCAACGCUAAUAUGACCCCUUUAUAUAGCGAGAAAUGGAGGUUUGGGUUUUCACAAAUUCCUCAAUUCCUUUAUUCCUAUCUUCCUCGAUAUCUCCUUGUAGCUUUCUACACAACGAUGGCUAAAUUUCAACGGUAUGGUUAUUUUCCUUUAACUACUUUUGUUGAUCGUUGUUCUAAUUCCAUUUUCAUCUGCAUCCAUUUUCUAGGUUUUCCAUGGAUCUGAAAUCUGGCUCCUCAGAUCUUUCAUUCCGUGGCGAGAUCUGCGUAUUCGUAUUACUUUUGAAAUCUCUUCGUGUUCGUCACUGUUGUUGAAUCAUCCUGUACAAUUGGAUUGUUGCGAUGAUGGUAUCUCAUCGCUGCUUGCUUCAGUUUCAUUUGUUGUAGAGAAGAUUAUUGUAACGGAAGCGUUGCUGGCUUGUUGCUUCUCAUUAACGUCAAAUCUCUAUUCAUGUUGUGAAUUUAGAUUAUGUGAUUGUUGUUUGGGGGAUGAAGUUGUUCUGAAUAAUAUAUUUGUGANNNN
Molecule: long non-coding RNA, 768 nt
Filed under: Lathyrus oleraceus (garden pea)
Lineage: Eukaryota; Viridiplantae; Streptophyta; Magnoliopsida; Fabales; Fabaceae
Description: Pisum sativum (pea) long non-coding RNA (PSAT_LNC037787)
Source: RNAcentral